UACGGGGGGGGCAAGCGUUGUUCGGAAUUACUGGGCGUAAAGGGCUCGUAGGCGGCCAACUAAGUCAUACGUGAAAUCCCUCGGCUUAACCGGGGAACUGCGUCUGAUACUGGAUGGCUUGAGUUCGGGAGAGGGAUGCGGAAUUCCAGGUGUAGCGGUGAAAUGCGUAGAUAUUGGGAGGAACACCAGUGGCGAAGGCGGCUAUCUGGACGAACACUGACGCUGAGACACGAAAGCGUGGGGAGCAAACAGG
RNAcentral lists this ribosomal RNA (253 nucleotides) under uncultured bacterium. RNAcentral's name for it is "partial 16S ribosomal RNA". It matches the Rfam family "Bacterial small subunit ribosomal RNA", at positions 524 to 776 of the family's 1533-position model. The record is from RNAcentral.